CCCUUAGAUGUCCGGGGCCGCACGCGCGCUACACUGAAGGAAUCAGCGUGGCUUUCUCCCUGACCCGAAAGGGUUGGGAAACCCGUUGAAUCUCCUUCGUGAUAGGGAUUGGGGCUUGAAAUUGUUCCCCAUGAACGAGGAAUUCCAGUAAGCGCGAGUCAUAAGCUCGCGUUGAUUACGUCCCUGCCCUUUGUACACACCGCCCGUCGCUACUACCGAUUGAACGGUUUAGUGAGGGCCUCGGAUUGGUCUCGGCCCGCUCUUUACCGGGCGGCGCCGUUGGUCGAGAAGACGCUCGAACUUGAUCGUUUAGAGGAAGUAAAAGUCGUAACA
RNAcentral lists this ribosomal RNA (333 nucleotides) under uncultured eukaryote. RNAcentral's name for it is "partial 18S ribosomal RNA". It matches the Rfam family "Eukaryotic small subunit ribosomal RNA", at positions 1470 to 1796 of the family's 1831-position model. The record is from RNAcentral.